UGCUGUUGUUUUUAGCCUGGCUUAUAAACUCCAGCCUGCUUUUAUAUUAUUGAAGAGGUUGAUAGUUUUCCGGGUUAGGGUCGUACUACAAAUCAUGAGGCAUGAAACCUAAGUUCAUGGCAUUAUGGGAUGUGUUGACUACAGAUCGUGAGUUCUUACUCUUGAAACAAGUGCUGCAUUUGUGUAGUCUUUAAAUGCAGUGACUUGCUAGAAUCCCUUUCAUGUAAGAUUUGUGAAAGUGUGAUUUAUUCAUGGGCCUGGCUUGGCAAGACUCAGUGAUAAUAUUCUUACAGAGAAUGCACAAGUGAUGGUACUUGCUGCAACCAACUGAACUUCAGAACUCAAUGAAGCAAUCCUCCAACGUCUUCCUUAGGCCUUUGAAAUUGGGAUACUGAGAUCCUGAAGGUUGUUUUGAAAGGGGAGAAGAUCAAAAGCAAAAUUGACUUUGAUUGCAUAACAAGUUUGUGUGAGGGCUACACUGGUUCUCAUCUGUGAUUUGUUAUAAUCCCAGCUAAUUCUUAAAGGCACCAAGGCCAUUGUCUGAGUCAGACUUGCAGGGAGUUCUUGGCACAUCAACUAAGACUACGGUUGCUGCAAAUGAGUACAGUAGGUCAAGCUCACAUUCACCUGGGUGGCCAGGCAGUCAGAUGACUAUCAGGUUCAAGCCACAACUAAUGAGCUCUCUAAACUCAUAGUAUCUCAAAUCUUGAAUCUUCAGUCGGAUAAUCAGGACCCUUGAAAUUUGAAAUAUUCAUCUGUUUUUUCUUAAUAUGAGGCCAAGAGAAAUUGUAUUUUAAAUUAUUUUAAUGUUUUCCCUAUUCUGAAAUGUUCAAAGUAGAAUAUGUUGUUUUUAGGUGACUCAAAAUUGCAGAUUCGCUGUAGCAUAGAGCUCUUAACAUGGUAUUAAUACAUAUCUUUUCUUUUGCUUUAGAUAUAAA
Long non-coding RNA from Populus trichocarpa (black cottonwood), 938 nucleotides. RefSeq lists it as uncharacterized. The record is from RefSeq and is a predicted model, not a curated record. Lineage: Eukaryota; Viridiplantae; Streptophyta; Magnoliopsida; Malpighiales; Salicaceae. The transcript is spliced from 2 exons.